RNAcentral lists this ribosomal RNA (253 nucleotides) under uncultured bacterium. RNAcentral's name for it is "partial 16S ribosomal RNA". It matches the Rfam family "Bacterial small subunit ribosomal RNA", at positions 524 to 776 of the family's 1533-position model. The record is from RNAcentral.
GACGUAGGGCGCGAGCGUUGUCCGGAUUUAUUGGGCGUAAAGAGCUCGUAGGCGGCUUGUCGCGUCGUUCGUGAAAACCCACGGCUCAACUGUGGGCUUGCGGUCGAUACGGGCAGGCUGGAGUUCGGUAGGGGAGACUGGAAUUCCUGGUGUAGCGGUGAAAUGCGCAGAUAUCAGGAAGAACACCCGUGGCUAAGGCGGUUCUCUAGUACGGUACUGACGCUGAGACGCGAAAGCGUGGGGAGCAAACAGG